GUCCCAGUUCAGAUCGCAGUCUGCAACCCGACUGCGUGAAGUCGGAAUCGCUAGUAAUCGCGGAUCAGCAUGCCGCGGUGAAUACGUUCCCGGGCCUUGUACACACCGCCCGUCACACCAUGAGAGUCGGGAACACCCGAAGUCCGUAGCCUAACCGCAAGGGGGGCGCGGCCGAAGGUGGGUUCGAUAAUUGGGGUGAAGUCGUAACAAGGUAGC
RNAcentral lists this ribosomal RNA (216 nucleotides) under uncultured bacterium. RNAcentral describes it as "partial 16S ribosomal RNA". It matches the Rfam family "Bacterial small subunit ribosomal RNA", at positions 1285 to 1500 of the family's 1533-position model. The record is from RNAcentral.